Non-coding RNA from Panaeolus papilionaceus, 105 nucleotides. Lineage: Eukaryota; Fungi; Basidiomycota; Agaricomycetes; Agaricales. The record is from the annotation of a GenBank genome assembly.
GGCCUUAUGGUCUAGUCGUAUGAUUCCUCCUUUGGGUUGAUGAAUUCCCUUCUGAAUUCCAGACUACAAUGGAGGAGGUCCUGGGUUCAAUUCCCAGUGAGGCCC